GCACGAAUGGCGUAACGAUGGCCACACUGUCUCAACCCGAGACUCAGCGAAGUUGAAAUGUUUGUGAAGAUGCAAUCUCCCCGCUGCUAGACGGAAAGACCCCGUGAACCUUUACUGUAGCUUUACAUUGGACUUUGAACAGACUUGUGUAGGAUAGGUGGGAGGCUAUGAAGCUGGAACGCUAGUUUCAGUGGAGCCGCCCUUGAAAUACCACCCUGGUGUGUUUGAGGUUCUAACCUUGGUCCGUAAUCCGGAUCGGGGACCGUGUAUGGUAGGCAGUUUGACUGGGGCGGUCUCCUCCCAAAGAGUAACGGAGGAGUUCGAAGGUCAUCUAGGUACGGUCGGACAUCGUACUGAUAGUGCAAUGGCAAAAGAUGGCUUAACUGCGAGACCGACAAGUCGAGCAGGUGCGAAAGCAGG
Molecule: ribosomal RNA, 420 nt
Filed under: Salmonella enterica subsp. enterica
Lineage: Bacteria; Pseudomonadati; Pseudomonadota; Gammaproteobacteria; Enterobacterales; Enterobacteriaceae
Description: partial 23S ribosomal RNA
Rfam family: Bacterial large subunit ribosomal RNA
Source: RNAcentral